AAUAAGCGGAGGAAAAGAAACCAACAGGGAUUGCCUUAGUAGCGGCGAGUGAAGCGGCAAAAGCUCAAAUUUGAAAUCUGGCUCUUUCAGAGUCCGAGUUGUAAUUUGAAGAAGGUAUCUUUGGGUCUGGCUCUUGUCUAUGUUUCUUGGAACAGAACGUCACAGAGGGUGAGAAUCCCGUGCGAUGAGAUGAUCCAGGCCUAUGUAAAGUUCCUUCGAAGAGUCGAGUUGUUUGGGAAUGCAGCUCUAAGUGGGUGGUAAAUUCCAUCUAAAGCUAAAUAUUGGCGAGAGACCGAUAGCGAACAAGUACAGUGAUGGAAAGAUGAAAAGAACUUUGAAAAGAGAGUGAAAAAGUACGUGAAAUUGUUGAAAGGGAAGGGCUUGAGAUCAGACUUGGUAUUUUGUAUGUUACUUCUUCGGGGGUGGCCUCUACAGUUUAUCGGGCCAGCAUCAGUUUGGGCGGUAGGAGAAUUGCGUUGGAAUGUGGCACGGCUACGGUUGUGUGUUAUAGCCUUCGUCGAUACUGCCAGCCUAGACUGAGGACUGCGGUUUAUACCUAGGAUGUUGGCAUUU
Molecule: ribosomal RNA, 573 nt
Filed under: Candida tropicalis
Lineage: Eukaryota; Fungi; Ascomycota; Pichiomycetes; Serinales; Debaryomycetaceae
Description: eukaryotic LSU rRNA
Rfam family: Eukaryotic large subunit ribosomal RNA
Source: RNAcentral